UGACUGAACACAUUUUGAUCUACUGCACAGUUAUAUCAACCUGAAUUCAAAAUGUAACUUUCAAUAUACUAAAGUCUGACUCACAGUAAAAAAAAGGUUGCUAAUCACUGUUCUAAACUAUAAGAAAUCUCAUAACAUCAUAGAUACAAAAUUUUCAUUUAAUGCAGAAAUAAAAAUAUAAACAACAUUUUUGUCUCAUUCUGACCCACUCUCCCCUACUACAGUUUUGGCUGGGGUUUCUCUAUCGCUCAGAAAAACGUCAGCAAAUAGUGUAUGGCCAGUCUGCCGGAUGGGCCGCGUGGAAACGCCUCGGUCCUCCACCCUGGAAGCCGGGUUCGAGUCUCGGAUCCCACCCCUUGAAAAUAUUUAUUAUGGAGUCCUGGUCCGGCCCAUCGAUCCCGUCCUCCACCCUCCGACCGACCCUUCCACCGGGGUGAGCAGCCGGUGGAAGGAUGGUUUCGCCCGUCACUUACUGAGAGGAAAGUGGCGUCACUUUUUGUUGACUAAAAAAAUACCGUAUGGCCGUAUUCCGUUUACUACCUCAAGCAUUUAAUUAAUUAGUUUGGGUUGGCCAUCCGGCAGCCCAAU
RNAcentral lists this long non-coding RNA (588 nucleotides) under Androctonus crassicauda. Lineage: Eukaryota; Metazoa; Arthropoda; Arachnida; Scorpiones; Buthidae. The record is from RNAcentral.